This 426-nucleotide ribosomal RNA is filed under the name uncultured Lactobacillus sp. RNAcentral's name for it is "bacterial SSU rRNA". It matches the Rfam family "Bacterial small subunit ribosomal RNA", at positions 356 to 774 of the family's 1533-position model. Lineage: Bacteria; Bacillati; Bacillota; Bacilli; Lactobacillales; Lactobacillaceae. The record is from RNAcentral.
AGGGAAUCUUCCACAAUGGACGCAAGUCUGAUGGAGCAACGCCGCGUGAGUGAAGAAGGCUUUCGGGUCGUAAAACUCUGUUGUUGGAGAAGAAUGGUCGGCAGAGUAACUGUUGUCGGCGUGACGGUAUCCAACCAGAAAGCCACGGCUAACUACGUGCCAGCAGCCGCGGUAAUACGUAGGUGGCAAGCGUUAUCCGGAUUUAUUGGGCGUAAAGCGAGCGCAGGCGGUUUUUUAAGUCUGAUGUGAAAGCCCUCGGCUUAACCGAGGAAGCGCAUCGGAAACUGGGAAACUUGAGUGCAGAAGAGGACAGUGGAACUCCAUGUGUAGCGGUGAAAUGCGUAGAUAUAUGGAAGAACACCAGUGGCGAAGGCGGCUGUCUGGUCUGUAACUGACGCUGAGGCUCGAAAGCAUGGGUAGCGAACA